This 2216-nucleotide ribosomal RNA is filed under the name Vibrio cholerae HC-20A2. RNAcentral's name for it is "bacterial LSU rRNA". It matches the Rfam family "Bacterial large subunit ribosomal RNA", at positions 1 to 2261 of the family's 2925-position model. The record is from RNAcentral. Lineage: Bacteria; Pseudomonadati; Pseudomonadota; Gammaproteobacteria; Vibrionales; Vibrionaceae.
UUAAGUGACUAAGCGUACACGGUGGAUGCCUGGGCAGUCAGAGGCGAUGAAGGACGUACUAACUUGCGAUAAGCGCAGAUAAGGCAGUAAGAGCCGUUUGAGUCUGCGAUUUCCGAAUGGGGAAACCCAACUGCAUAAGCAGUUACUGUUAACUGAAUACAUAGGUUAACAGAGCAAACCGGGGGAACUGAAACAUCUAAGUACCCCGAGGAGAAGAAAUCAACCGAGAUUCCGGUAGUAGCGGCGAGCGAACCUGGAUUAGCCCUUAAGCACUCGGUGAAGUAGGUGAACAAGCUGGAAAGCUUGGCGAUACAGGGUGAUAGCCCCGUAACCGACGCUUCAUCGAGCGUGAAAUCGAGUAGGACGGGACACGUGAUAUCCUGUCUGAAUAUGGGGGGACCAUCCUCCAAGGCUAAAUACUCCUGACUGACCGAUAGUGAACCAGUACCGUGAGGGAAAGGCGAAAAGAACCCCUGUGAGGGGAGUGAAAUAGAACCUGAAACCGUGUACGUACAAGCAGUAGGAGCACCUUCGUGGUGUGACUGCGUACCUUUUGUAUAAUGGGUCAGCGACUUAUAUUCAGUGGCAAGGUUAACCGUAUAGGGGAGCCGUAGCGAAAGCGAGUCUUAACUGGGCGCUCAGUCUCUGGAUAUAGACCCGAAACCGGGUGAUCUAGCCAUGGGCAGGUUGAAGGUUGAGUAACAUCAACUGGAGGACCGAACCGACUAAUGUUGAAAAAUUAGCGGAUGACUUGUGGCUAGGGGUGAAAGGCCAAUCAAACUCGGAGAUAGCUGGUUCUCCCCGAAAGCUAUUUAGGUAGCGCCUCGGACGAAUACUACUGGGGGUAGAGCACUGUUAAGGCUAGGGGGUCAUCCCGACUUACCAACCCUUUGCAAACUCCGAAUACCAGUAAGUACUAUCCGGGAGACACACGGCGGGUGCUAACGUCCGUCGUGGAGAGGGAAACAACCCAGACCGCCAGCUAAGGUCCCAAAGUAUUGCUAAGUGGGAAACGAUGUGGGAAGGCUCAGACAGCUAGGAUGUUGGCUUAGAAGCAGCCAUCAUUUAAAGAAAGCGUAAUAGCUCACUAGUCGAGUCGGCCUGCGCGGAAGAUGUAACGGGGCUAAGCAAUACACCGAAGCUGCGGCAAUGUCUUUUAGACAUUGGGUAGGGGAGCGUUCUGUAAGCCGUUGAAGGUGAAUCGUAAGGUUUGCUGGAGGUAUCAGAAGUGCGAAUGCUGACAUGAGUAACGACAAAGGGGGUGAAAAACCUCCUCGCCGGAAGACCAAGGGUUCCUGUCCAACGUUAAUCGGGGCAGGGUGAGUCGACCCCUAAGGUGAGGCCGAAAGGCGUAAUCGAUGGGAAACGGGUUAAUAUUCCCGUACUUCUGACUAUUGCGAUGGGGGGACGGAGAAGGCUAGGUGGGCCAGGCGACGGUUGUCCUGGUUCAAGUGCGUAGGCUUGAGAGUUAGGUAAAUCCGGCUCUCUCUAAGGCUGAGACACGACGUCGAGCUACUACGGUAGUGAAGUCAUUGAUGCCAUGCUUCCAGGAAAAGCCUCUAAGCUUCAGAUAGUCAGGAAUCGUACCCCAAACCGACACAGGUGGUCGGGUAGAGAAUACCAAGGCGCUUGAGAGAACUCGGGUGAAGGAACUAGGCAAAAUGGUACCGUAACUUCGGGAGAAGGUACGCUCUUGAUGGUGAAGUCCCUCGCGGAUGGAGCUGACGAGAGUCGCAGAUACCAGGUGGCUGCAACUGUUUAUUAAAAACACAGCACUGUGCAAAAUCGCAAGAUGACGUAUACGGUGUGACGCCUGCCCGGUGCCGGAAGGUUAAUUGAUGGGGUUAGCGCAAGCGAAGCUCUUGAUCGAAGCCCCGGUAAACGGCGGCCGUAACUAUAACGGUCCUAAGGUAGCGAAAUUCCUUGUCGGGUAAGUUCCGACCUGCACGAAUGGCGUAAUGAUGGCCACGCUGUCUCCACCCGAGACUCAGUGAAAUUGAAAUCGCUGUGAAGAUGCAGUGUACCCGCGGCUAGACGGAAAGACCCCGUGAACCUUUACUACAGCUUGGCACUGAACAUUGAACCUACAUGUGUAGGAUAGGUGGGAGGCUAUGAAGACGUGACGCCAGUCGCGUUGGAGCCGUCCUUGAAAUACCACCCUUGUAUGUUUGAUGUUCUAACUUAGACCCAUUAUCUGGGUUGAGGACAGUGCCUGG